This 301-nucleotide ribosomal RNA is filed under the name uncultured bacterium. RNAcentral's name for it is "partial 16S ribosomal RNA". It matches the Rfam family "Bacterial small subunit ribosomal RNA", at positions 509 to 807 of the family's 1533-position model. The record is from RNAcentral.
CAGCCGCCGCGGGAAUACGAAGGGUGCAAGCGUUAAUCGGAAUUACUGGGCGUAAAGCGUGCGUAGGCGGUUUGUUAAGUCUGUUGUGAAAUCCCCGGGCUCAACCUGGGAAUGGCAAUGGAUACUGGCAAGCUAGAGUGUGUCAGAGGAUGGUGGAAUUCCCGGUGUAGCGGUGAAAUACGUAGAGAUCGGGAGGAACAUCAGUGGCGAAGGCGGCCAUCUGGGACAACACUGACGCUGAGGCGCGAAAGCGUGGGGAGCAAGCAGGAUUAGAUACCCGGGUAGUCCCUGUCUCUUAUAC